Molecule: ribosomal RNA, 462 nt
Filed under: Triticum aestivum (bread wheat)
Lineage: Eukaryota; Viridiplantae; Streptophyta; Magnoliopsida; Poales; Poaceae
Description: partial small subunit ribosomal RNA
Source: RNAcentral
AUGUGGUCGGUGUGGAAUGCACGUAAUGCUCGCUUACAUGGUGAAUCAUCAACCAAAUUAACUCAAGCAUGUAGAUGGGCAUAUGACACUGCCACAGAUCUUAUUCAAACUGCUAGAGCAGCCAGAUCAUGUAGUAAAGUAAAAAUCACAAGUUGGCAAUGACCACAUCAAGGAUGUUAUAAAGUUAAUGUUGAUGCAUCUUGUAAUGUAGAUGAUAUGAAUGGAGCAUCUGGAGUUAUUAUAAGAGACGAACAGGGGCAUAUAGUUGCAGCAAGUAGCAUAUGGCAUGAAUUUGUUCCUGAUACACUGACAGCCGAGGCACUUGCUUGCAGAUAUGGAGCACAACUGAUGAAAACCUGGAGCAUAAAGCAAGCCAUAUUGGAAACAGAUUCGAUGGAAUUCACUUUGCUUUGGUGGAUGAAGCAUCAGCGGUCUAGAAUACUUACCAAGUUACCAUUGUAA